This 447-nucleotide ribosomal RNA is filed under the name Neoscona nautica (brown sailor spider). RNAcentral's name for it is "partial 16S ribosomal RNA". It matches the Rfam family "Bacterial large subunit ribosomal RNA", at positions 1831 to 2597 of the family's 2925-position model. Lineage: Eukaryota; Metazoa; Arthropoda; Arachnida; Araneae; Araneidae. The record is from RNAcentral.
UUCUUAUAGAAAUUUUUAUAAGUAAUACCUGCUCAAUGAAUAAUUUUUAAUAGCCGCGGAAAUUUAACUAUGCUAAGGUAGCAUAAUCAUUAGCCUCUUAAUUAGAGGCUUGUAUGAAUGGUAAAACAUUUCAAUUUCUUUAUUAAUUUUAAUUCUUUAAUUUAAAUUAAGAAUAAAAAUGUUUCUUAUAAAUAAAAAAGACGACAAGACCCUUUUGAACUUUACUUUAGUUUAGCUGGGGCAGCUAUUAAAUAAUUAUCUUUUUCUAAUUUAUUAAAUAAAUGACCUAUUAUAAUUAAUUAUUUGAACAAGUUACCAUAGGGAUAACAGCGUAAUAUUUUUCUAAAGUUCUUAUUUAAAAAAGUGAUUACGACCUCGAUGUUGAAUUAAUGUAACUAUAUAGAUGCAAUAAUCUUAAAAGUAGGUCUGUUCGACCUUUAAAUCAUU